GGAGGGAUGGCAGAGCGGCUGAAUGCACCGGUCUUGAAAACCGACAAGGGCUAACACCCUUCCAGGGUUCGAAUCCCUGUCCCUCCACCA
RNAcentral lists this transfer RNA (90 nucleotides) under Candidatus Thioglobus sp. Its description in RNAcentral is "tRNA-Ser". It matches the Rfam family "tRNA". Rfam says of the family: Transfer RNA (tRNA) molecules are approximately 80 nucleotides in length. The record is from RNAcentral. Lineage: Bacteria; Pseudomonadati; Pseudomonadota; Gammaproteobacteria; Pseudothioglobaceae (SeqCode).